GGCUGCUGGCAGGGAGUUAGCCGGUGCUUCUUCUGCGAGUAACGUCAAUCAGCGAGGUUAUUAACCUUACUGCCUUCCUCCUCGCUGAAAGUGCUUUACGACCCGAAGGCCUUCUUCACACACGCGGCAUGGCUGCAUUCAGUUGCGCCCAUUGUGCAGUAUUCCCUACUGCUGCCUCCCGUAGGAG
RNAcentral lists this ribosomal RNA (187 nucleotides) under uncultured insect microflora 7. Its description in RNAcentral is "partial 16S ribosomal RNA". The record is from RNAcentral.